GGCUACUUCCUAGGAGGACAGUUGUUUUGAAAACAAUAAUUAAGUGUUCAAUUCACUUAGUAGUUU
RNAcentral lists this transfer RNA (66 nucleotides) under Hanleyella oldroydi. Its description in RNAcentral is "tRNA-Ser". It matches the Rfam family "tRNA". Rfam says of the family: Transfer RNA (tRNA) molecules are approximately 80 nucleotides in length. Their secondary structure includes four short double-helical elements and three loops (D, anti-codon, and T loops). Further hydrogen bonds mediate the characteristic L-shaped molecular structure. tRNAs have two regions of fundamental functional importance: the anti-codon, which is responsible for specific mRNA codon recognition, and the 3' end, to which the tRNAs corresponding amino acid is attached (by aminoacyl-tRNA synthetases). tRNAs cope with the degeneracy of the genetic code in two manners: having more than one tRNA (with a specific anti-codon) for a particular amino acid; and 'wobble' base-pairing, i.e. permitting non-standard base-pairing at the 3rd anti-codon position. The record is from RNAcentral. Lineage: Eukaryota; Metazoa; Mollusca; Polyplacophora; Lepidopleurida; Lepidopleuridae.